UGUCAUGUUAAAUAGUACUACCUUCAUCCUCACCUAGCUCACCACCUUCUUCACAUGCUUUGGAAGUUCAUGUGUCCUACUGCAGAAUGAUUUCCCAGUUCAUGAAAAUACUUUAGAAUAGUUUUUAUGAUUGCAUGGAUCGAUGCAUCUAGGAUUAAGAGAUAUCAGCAAAUAGUAGAUAACAAUCCUAGGAUUAUGCCCGCAUGGAAAUAUGACCCAUGUCCCAGUAAUCUGCAUCAGCAUUGGCAGUAUAAUCCUGACG
RNAcentral lists this long non-coding RNA (262 nucleotides) under Oryza brachyantha (malo sina). RNAcentral describes it as "long non-coding RNA (OBRA_LNC003210)". The record is from RNAcentral. Lineage: Eukaryota; Viridiplantae; Streptophyta; Magnoliopsida; Poales; Poaceae.